CAAAGUAGAAAAUUACAAAACCUAAUAAAUAUUUACAAGAAAAAAGAAUAUCCAAAUUCCCUACAAAGAUUGUUUAAUACUACGACCAACCCAAGCAGCCAACCACAAUGUCUAUCCUCACUAUGAACUAGUAACAAUGUGAAAGCACCACAAUCACCAAACUAGCCCCACCAUUCACAGCUCCAACACCACCAAACCAAACAAACAACACCAUCACCUCAAACCAAGACAAUAUCAUAUCAAACCAAACCAAACCACUACCAACACACCUCAAAAAUUAUGUAUACCAUUACAUGACACUUGCAUCACAACACAAAAAAAAAUAAAUAAAAAAAAUAAGACAUGAAAAACACACCUAGAACCGAUUCUCCACAAACAAAAAAUUGAUUCCAGCAUGCAUGAAUCGACUCAUCACUUGAGAAUCUAUUCUAACUUUCGGUUCCACAUGCACAAUAGGUUUCCU
This 463-nucleotide long non-coding RNA is filed under the name Vigna radiata. RNAcentral describes it as "long non-coding RNA (VRAD_LNC006735)". Lineage: Eukaryota; Viridiplantae; Streptophyta; Magnoliopsida; Fabales; Fabaceae. The record is from RNAcentral.